This 301-nucleotide ribosomal RNA is filed under the name uncultured bacterium. RNAcentral describes it as "partial 16S ribosomal RNA". The record is from RNAcentral.
ACGACUUAUGUUUGAUCAUGGCUCAGAAGUCAACGCUGGCGGUAUGCCUAACCAUGCCAAGUCNCGAACGGCAGCNCAGGAGAGCUUGCCUCCUCUGGGCUGGCGAGCUGGCGGACGGGUGAGGAAUACCAUCUGGAAUCUACUCUGUCGCUGGCGGGAAUAACGUAGAGGAGAACUUACGCUAAUACCGGCGAUACGACCGUACGGGGUGAAAUGGCAGUGGUGACCGUUCGGGCCGUCUGCGCGCACUUGAACUGAGCCGCACUGUCGGAUUUAGCUAGCGUUUGGCGGGGUUAAAAAG